This 69-nucleotide transfer RNA is filed under the name Schistometopum gregorii. RNAcentral's name for it is "tRNA-Phe". It matches the Rfam family "tRNA". Rfam says of the family: Transfer RNA (tRNA) molecules are approximately 80 nucleotides in length. Their secondary structure includes four short double-helical elements and three loops (D, anti-codon, and T loops). The record is from RNAcentral. Lineage: Eukaryota; Metazoa; Chordata; Amphibia; Gymnophiona; Dermophiidae.
GUUAAUGUAGUUUAAAUAAAAACAUAGCACUGAAAAUGCUAAAAUGAAAUUUAAUAUUUUCCAUUAACA